UUGUCAACAGAGGAUUGGGAAAGAGCCAUAAUGAGAAGUCUCUUCUUUCCUAAUAUUGGUGUCAUUUGAUUAAAUGAUAUUAAAUGUCAAAGUCUAAAUCUGGGGUAGGAAAGAAGGAUGGGGAGGAGUGAGCACUAAUAAUAGUACUGGAAAUGAAGAAUUAUGUAUAGUUGAGGUCAUACUGGAUUGGAGUGAACUCUAAACACACUGACUUGUGUUAUUUCGGGGGCGGUGUGAAGACACAGGAAUACGACAUAACAACAGAUACAGAGCCUGGAGUAAUGACAGUACAAGUCAAGGAACACCAAGGAUCACCAGCUGCCACCCAACCCAGGAAGAGCUGCAGUGCUGCUAAUGGCUGAGGGCAUCACUGAGAUGUUCUGUAACUCACUGCAGGCGAGAUGCCGCUUCAGUAUCCCAUACCUUUGGCUGCUCUUCGUCUACUAUACCUCCUCACACUUCUCCCAGUCACCUUUCCAGCAGCUGUGAUUCCAGCUGAUUUUGGCCACCCACAUUGAUCUGGACAGGAUGCCUCUCAGAUGGAGUCUCCUCAGCCGCCCAGGUUGGAGUGCAGUGGCGUGAUCUCAGCUCACUGCAACCACUGUCUCCCGGGUUCAAUAGAUUCUCCCAACUCAGCCUCCCGAGUAGCUGGGAUUACAGGCACCUGCCAUCAUGCCUGGCUAAUUAGAGAAUAACUUUUUACAGGACUUAGCAUCAUAUUUUUAUUUGUAUAAAAUAAACAUAAAACUAGAGCUUAUUUCCUGUUAACCAUUUUGUGAGUCUUUUUGUACACUUCCAAAACACCAAUAGCCACUUUAUUAUUUUUCUUUUGCUUUUGUUAGCAUCUUUGGGCCACACAAAUAUUUAGAAGAUUUAUGUGGUAUCAAACUCAUAAUUUUGUGUAAACAAAGCUCACCCAUUUCUAUAUAGUUCAUAUUUCUAAGCCAAGGCAAAGACAAAAUAGGGAUCAUUUUUCUUUGACAAUUUUAUUUAGCAUAAAAGACUAUAUACAGGCAUUACACCUGUAAAAAACAAUUCCAUGUAAAUAAUAAACAUAAACCCCAUAAUUUGGUUUAUAUCUUUAUCCACCUAUCAAAUUCCAUGACCAUUCCCUUAAUUUACAUUUUUACCAGUUUGGUCAGGAUUCAUAGUUGGAGACAGUAGAAUCUUCUUUACCUGAUUGAUGCAAGAGGAAUUACUAAGUGAUAUGACUAGUUCACAGAAUUGUUAAGAGAGCUGAGAAAACAGACUAUGAUGACUUCAUUAACCACAACACAGAAUUAGGCCUCUCAAGGAGUUUCUACCUUUACCCUGCCUCUGCCCCUGUGGAUUUGUGGCUGAAUCAGUGGGCUGGUAUUAGUGCUGUUCCUAUGACGAUGGUUCUAGCUCCAGAAUUACAUCAUCUCUUCCACCCUUUUCCAACAAAAUGUAGCCCCACGUCUGCCUCUCUCCCUUGUAACUCAGUUCCAUAUCAGUUUUGUGUAAGUGCAGCUGUACACAGGAUGGACCCUAGUGCAUAUGCAAUGUCCUAGUUGCAGAGGAGUCUGGGAAACACAGGUUUGGGUGUUCUAGUCUCUACAGCACAAAAAGAUAUGAUAGAAGGGAGUUGAAAUGAGAGUUGAUCAAGCCCAAUCUAAUAGUAUAACUCAUAACUUUCUUAUAUUUCUACUGAGGCCAGAAUGGUCUUUAAAAUGAAACCAUAAUGUUGCUACUCCUGACAUAAAAUCCUUCAGGGAAUUCUAAAGUCAUUCAACAUGGGAACUCUUCAAUAUGCAUUAUAAAACUUUGAUGAUGCAACCCUUAUCCAGGUCUGUAGCCUCAUCUCCUUCCCUCAUAUAUGUAUUUACAAAGUCAGUAUGUGGUUUCAGACCUCCCAAUAUUUGCAUAUUCUGUUCUCUUUGCCUGGAACAUCUUUCUCUGUCUUCUUUCCCUAACUAAUUCCUACUAGUACUUCAAUUAGCUUUGCUAUUAUCACUUGUUCCCAAAGAUGCCCAAUCCCUGUAAUAUGAUGGGAUGUCUACCCAUCUAGCCUCAUAUAAUAUUCUACACAUAUUGAUUUGUAGCACUCAUUUCAUGGAACCGUCAUUAGCCUGAUUUAUUUUUCAG
This 2106-nucleotide long non-coding RNA is filed under the name Homo sapiens (human). RNAcentral describes it as "HSALNT0077062". The record is from RNAcentral. Lineage: Eukaryota; Metazoa; Chordata; Mammalia; Primates; Hominidae.